RNAcentral lists this ribosomal RNA (403 nucleotides) under Verrucomicrobiota bacterium. Its description in RNAcentral is "Verrucomicrobia bacterium partial 16S ribosomal RNA". It matches the Rfam family "Bacterial small subunit ribosomal RNA", at positions 355 to 776 of the family's 1533-position model. Lineage: Bacteria; Pseudomonadati; Verrucomicrobiota. The record is from RNAcentral.
UGGGGAAUAUUGCACAAUGGGGGAAACCCUGAUGCAGCGACGCCGCGUGAGCGAAGAAGGUUUUCGAAUCGUACAGCUCUGUCCUAUGGGAAGAUAAUGACGGUACCAUAGGAGGAAGCCCCGGCUAACUACGUGCUAGCAGCCGCGGUAAUACGUAGGGGGCAAGCGUUGUCCGGAAUCACUGGGCGUAAAGGGUUCGCAGGCGGAAAUGCAAGUCAGUUGUGAAAGGCAGAGGCUCAACCUCUGUAAGCAAUUGAAACUGUAUUUCUUGAGAUGUGGGGAGGCAAGUGGAAUUCCUAGUGUAGCGGUGAAAUGCGUAGAUAUUAGGAAGAAUACCGGUGGCGAAGGCGACUUGCUGGACACAAACUGACGCUGAGGAACGAAAGCAUGGGUAGCAAACAGG